This 301-nucleotide ribosomal RNA is filed under the name uncultured bacterium. RNAcentral describes it as "partial 16S ribosomal RNA". It matches the Rfam family "Bacterial small subunit ribosomal RNA", at positions 509 to 807 of the family's 1533-position model. The record is from RNAcentral.
CAGUCGCCGCGGUAAUACAGAGGGUGCGAGCGUUAAUCGGUUUUACUGGGCGUAAAGCGUGCGUAGGCGGCUUUUUAAGUCGGAUGUGAAAUCCCUGAGCUUAACUUAGGAAUUGCAUUCGAUACUGGGAAGCUAGAGUAUGGGAGAGGAUGGUAGAAUUCCAGGUGUAGCGGUGAAAUGCGUAGAGAUCUGGAGGAAUACCGAUGGCGAAGGCAGCCAUCUGGCCUAAUACUGACGCUGAGGUACGAAAGCAUGGGGAGCAAACAGGAUUAGAUACCCCAGUAGUCCCUGUCUCUUAUAC